GCAUAUCAAUAAGCGGAGGAAAAGAAACUAACAAGGAUUCCCCUAGUAACGGCGAGUGAAGCGGGAAGAGCUCAAAUUUAAAAUCUGUAAGGUUCAACCUUGCCGAAUUGUAGUUUGAAGAAGUGUUUUCCGCGGCGGCUGCAGUACAAAUCCUUUGGAACAGGGUAUCAGAGAGGGUGAGAAUCCCGUCUUUGACUGCAGACUAGUUGCACUGUGAUACACUUUCUAAGAGUCGAGUUGUUUGGGAAUGCAGCUCAAAAUGGGUGGUAAAUUUCAUCUAAAGCUAAAUAUUGGCAAGAGACCGAUAGCGAACAAGUACCGUGAGGGAAAGAUGAAAAGAACUUUGAAAAGAGAGUUAAAUAGUACGUGAAAUUGUUAAAAGGGAAACGCUUGAAGUCAGUGUUGCCGGCGGAAAAUCAGCUUCGUGCGGAAGGCUUGCUGCGGUGGAGGGAGUGUUAAAACCCCUUGCUGUAGUACAGCCAGCCGGACGGAGUGCACUUUUCCGUCGACAGGUCAACAUCAAUUUCAGCCGGUGGAAAAAAGCCAGUGGAAUGUAGGUUGGAGCAAUCUGACUGUUAUAGCCACUAGUGUAUACACCGGCGGGGAUUGAGGACAGCAGUGCAGGCCACUAUGGCGGAAGCGCUGCUCUUUUCUCCGGGGGGCACGUCAAGACAGCAUGCUGACUUGAUGUGUACACUCUUGGGAACGGGGCGGCUGUACUUCUCCUGCACUAAGGAUGUUGACGAAAUGGCUUUAAACGACCCGUCUUGAAACACGGACCAAGGAGUCUAACAAAUAUGCGAGUAUUUGGGUGGCAAACCCAUAUGCGCAAUGAAAGUGAAUGUAGGUGGGAUCCCAGCAAUGGGAGCACCAUCGACCGAUCUGGAAUAAUUUAUGAUAGAUUUGAGUAAGAGCAUAUCUGUUGGGACCCGAAAGAUGGUGAACUAUGCCUGAAUAGGGUGAAGCCAGAGGAAACUCUGGUGGAGGCUCGUAGCGAUUCUGACGUGCAAAUCGAUCGUCAAAUUUGGGUAUAGGGGCGAAAGACUAAUCAAACCA
RNAcentral lists this ribosomal RNA (1056 nucleotides) under Basidiobolus meristosporus. RNAcentral's name for it is "LSU rRNA". It matches the Rfam family "Eukaryotic large subunit ribosomal RNA", at positions 38 to 942 of the family's 3401-position model. Lineage: Eukaryota; Fungi; Basidiobolomycota; Basidiobolomycetes; Basidiobolales; Basidiobolaceae. The record is from RNAcentral.